GCAGGUUUCAUACAUGCAAGUCGAACGGGCUAUCACCCUUCGGGCGAUAUGCUAGUGGCGGACGGGUGAGUAACGCGUAGGAAUCAACCUGGUUGAGGGGAAUAACAUCAGGAGACUGGUGCUAAUACCGCAUAAGACCUAAGGGUGAAAGCGGGGGAUCUUCGGACCUCGCGCGACCAGAGGAGCCUGCGUGUGGAUUAGCUUGUUGGUGAGGUAAUGGCUCACCAAGGCGACGAUCCAUAGCUGGUCUGAGAGGACGAUCAGCCACACUGGAACUGAGACACGGUCCAGACUUCUAAGGAAGGCAGCAGUAGAGAAUAUUGCACAAUGGGGGAAACCAGAUGCAGGCAUGCCGCGUGUGUGAAGACAGCCCUAGGGUUGUAAAGCACUUUCGGUGGUGAAGAAAGCCGGCGCGCUAAUACCGCGAUCCGGGUAGACGUUAACCGCUAAAGAAGCACCGGCUAACUCCGUGCCAGCAGCCGCGGUAAGACGGAGGGUGCGAUCGUUAAUCGGAAUUACUGGGCGUAAAGCGCACGUAGGCGGAUGGUCAAGUGGGAUGUGAAAGCCCUAGGUCAACCUGGGAAUUGCAUUCCAAACUGACGAUCUAGAGUGUAGUAGAGGAAAGUGGAAUUUGCUGUGUAGCGGUGAAAUGCGUAGAUAUGGCAAGGAACAUCAGUGGCGGAGGCGGCUUUCUGGACUAACACUGACGCUCAGGUGCGAAAGCGUGGGUAGCGAACAGGAUUAAAUACCCUGGUAGUCCACGCCGUAAACAAUGAAAACUAACCGUGGAUCU
Molecule: ribosomal RNA, 793 nt
Filed under: uncultured Gammaproteobacteria bacterium
Lineage: Bacteria; Pseudomonadati; Pseudomonadota; Gammaproteobacteria
Description: bacterial SSU rRNA
Rfam family: Bacterial small subunit ribosomal RNA
Source: RNAcentral